UCAGAUUAAGGACAUUUGUAGACCAGU
This 27-nucleotide non-coding RNA is filed under the name Bombyx mori (domestic silkworm). The record is from RNAcentral. Lineage: Eukaryota; Metazoa; Arthropoda; Insecta; Lepidoptera; Bombycidae.